GCUUAAGUGUGCUCUGCAGGCUCAGUAAAAGAGCAGCAGUAAAACCUAAAGAAGAAUUUACACACAGAAGGCAGCAGCAAAAGAUAUGCUGAAUGCCUACUAUGAAUAAGCACAGUAACUUCAAGCUGAGUCACAUUGUUGUCCAGCAACAGUAAGACUGUGGAUUAAUACACUGUAGAGGUACUUUCUUGCAGUUCUGCAGUUAUUCUUACAAUAUGCAAGCAUGAUGCAACUUCCAUAACGUUUGAAGAUAAGGGCCUUACCUAAGAAGAAUGCCACGGUCUCAGAAAAAGAUGAGAGAAACAUGCUAGGUGCCACAUCUCCCAGGACUCUGCCAAUCUGCUUAUCAAGAGUUUCACCCUCAAGACGCUCAUCUCUCUGUUUUGAGAGAUAAUAAUAUAUUAAGUUCCACGAUUCCUGCUGCUUUUUCAGAUCAGUGAUGCAACUACCUCAGAAGUAAUACAUGCACAUCCUAGUGUGUCAGCUUGAGAUACUUCACAUCUAGUUUCUUGAGACUAGAAAUCCUCAAGCAGGCUCAAAGCAGACUGAACAUUCACAUGCUGAUCAGCAGGACAAGCAUGUUUCAGUUAGACUGCUCACAUUUGUCACUUCUGGAGUUGUCUGCUUUCAUUCUCAGCAUUGAUCUACUAGAAGGUCAGUUAAAAUAUCCUUACUUAGUUGAAGUUUAACAAAAAUCAAAGUUUCUCAAGAGUGCUUUUGAACAGUCAUGUCAAUGAGAAUGCAACUUUAGCACCAAAGACAGCAAGCAAGAAUGUACUGAAGAUUUUAACUGCAACACUGUUUUGUCACUUACCA
Long non-coding RNA from Gallus gallus (chicken), 816 nucleotides. RefSeq lists it as uncharacterized. The record is from RefSeq and is a predicted model, not a curated record. NCBI's taxonomy places the organism in Eukaryota, Metazoa, Chordata, Aves, Galliformes, Phasianidae. The transcript is spliced from 3 exons.